Molecule: ribosomal RNA, 515 nt
Filed under: uncultured bacterium
Lineage: Bacteria
Description: partial 16S ribosomal RNA
Rfam family: Bacterial small subunit ribosomal RNA
Source: RNAcentral
GAUGAACGCUGGCGGCGUGCCUAAUACAUGCAAGUCGAGCGAAUGGAUUAAGAGCUUGCUCUUAUGAAGUUAGCGGCGGACGGGUGAGUAACACGUGGGUAACCUGCCCAUAAGACUGGGAUAACUCCGGGAAACCGGGGCUAAUACCGGAUAACAUUUUGAACCGCAUGGUUCGAAAUUGAAAGGCGGCUUCGGCUGUCACUUAUGGAUGGACCCGCGUCGCAUUAGCUAGUUGGUGAGGUAACGGCUCACCAAGGCAACGAUGCGUAGCCGGCCUGAGAGGGUGAUCGGCCACACUGGGACUGAGACACGGCCCAGACUCCUACGGGAGGCAGCAGUAGGGAAUCUUCUGCAAUGGACGAAAGUCUGACGGAGCAACGCCGCGUGAGUGAUGAAGGCUUUCGGGUCGUAAAACUCUGUUGUUAGGGAAGAACAAGUGCUAGUUGAAUAAGCUGGCACCUUGACGGUACCUAACCAGAAAGCCACGGCUAACUACGUGCCAGCCACCGCAGUAA